This 492-nucleotide ribosomal RNA is filed under the name uncultured bacterium. RNAcentral describes it as "partial 16S ribosomal RNA". It matches the Rfam family "Bacterial small subunit ribosomal RNA", at positions 28 to 507 of the family's 1533-position model. The record is from RNAcentral.
GAUGAACGCUAGCUAUAGGCUUAACACAUGCAAGUCGAGGGGAAACGGCAUUAUGUGCUUGCACAUUUUGGACGUCGACCGGCGCACGGGUGAUUACCGCGUAUCCAACCUGCCGUUUACUUGGGGAUACCCCGUUGAAAGACGGCCUAAUACCCGAUGUAAUUCAUUGAUGGCAUCAGAUAUGAAUAAAAGAUUAAUGGGUAAAGGAUGGGGAUGCGUUUGAUUAGCUUGUUGGUGAGGUAACGGCUCACCAAGGAGACGAUCAGUAGGGGUGCUGAGAGGCAGCUCCACCGCAUUGGAGAUGAGACACGGUCCCCACUGGUACGGGCGGCAGGAGUGGGGUAUACUAGGGACGCAGCGCAAGUCUGAACCAGCCAAGUAGAGUGAAGGAAGACUGCCCUAUUGGUGGUCAACUACUUUUAUACGAGAAUAAUUUGAUACACGCGUGCCUUAUUGACUGUAUCGUAUGAAUAAGGACCGGCUAAUUCCGUG